This 305-nucleotide long non-coding RNA is filed under the name Rattus norvegicus (Norway rat). Its description in RNAcentral is "long non-coding RNA NONRATT032904". The record is from RNAcentral. Lineage: Eukaryota; Metazoa; Chordata; Mammalia; Rodentia; Muridae.
CAAGAUAAAAGGGGGGAAUUCCUCAGAGGAGCAGAGUGCCGCAUCCAAGUGGGGCUUUGUCCUGACAGCUACAAGCAGAGUUCCUGAGUUAAAAAAAAAUUAAUGUGUCAACCUUACAGCAACCACCAUGAGUUGUAAAUCGCAAGAGCCAAGGAAAAGCUAGCCCUAUCAUUCAUCUUUUCCUUUCCCUCUUCUAAUUGGUCAAAAGAAAGAAACAAGUACCACUAAAUUACCAUAUUCUCUGAUCUAUGAACGUGUCCACCUUAUACUUCUGUGCUGAGUGAAUUUAGGGCCAUUUAAAUGAG